This 578-nucleotide ribosomal RNA is filed under the name Penicillium sp. 144/115/58wat. RNAcentral's name for it is "eukaryotic LSU rRNA". The stretch from base 208 to 360 matches the Rfam family "5.8S ribosomal RNA". The record is from RNAcentral. Lineage: Eukaryota; Fungi; Ascomycota; Eurotiomycetes; Eurotiales; Aspergillaceae.
UUCCGUAGGUGAACCUGCGGAAGGAUCAUUACCGAGUGAGGGCCCUCUGGGUCCAACCUCCCACCCGUGUUUAUUUUACCUUGUUGCUUCGGCGGGCCCGCCUUAACUGGCCGCCGGGGGGCUUACGCCCCCGGGCCCGCGCCCGCCGAAGACACCCUCGAACUCUGUCUGAAGAUUGUAGUCUGAGUGAAAAUAUAAAUUAUUUAAAACUUUCAACAACGGAUCUCUUGGUUCCGGCAUCGAUGAAGAACGCAGCGAAAUGCGAUACGUAAUGUGAAUUGCAAAUUCAGUGAAUCAUCGAGUCUUUGAACGCACAUUGCGCCCCCUGGUAUUCCGGGGGGCAUGCCUGUCCGAGCGUCAUUUCUGCCCUCAAGCACGGCUUGUGUGUUGGGCCCCGUCCUCCGAUCCCGGGGGACGGGCCCGAAAGGCAGCGGCGGCACCGCGUCCGGUCCUCGAGCGUAUGGGGCUUUGUCACCCGCUCUGUAGGCCCGGCCGGCGCUUGCCGAUCAACCCAAAUUUUUAUCCAGGUUGACCUCGGAUCAGGUAGGGAUACCCGCUGAACUUAAGCAUAUCAAUAA